GUCUAUGGCCAUACCACCCUGAACACGCCGGAUCUCUUCUGAUCUCGGAAGCUAAGCAGGGUCAGGCCUGGUUAGUACUUGGAUGGGAAAGAGGUGCUUUUGAAG
This 105-nucleotide ribosomal RNA is filed under the name Oryctolagus cuniculus (rabbit). The record is from RNAcentral. Lineage: Eukaryota; Metazoa; Chordata; Mammalia; Lagomorpha; Leporidae.